UACGGAGGGUGCGAGCGUUGCUCGGAAUUACUGGGCGUAAAGCGUACGCAGGCGGCUUGGUGUGUCGGAUGUGAAAGCCCCGGGCUCAACCCGGGAACGGCAUUCGAAACUGCCGAGCUGGAGUUCGGGAGAGGGAAGUGGAAUUCCUGGUGUAGAGGUGAAAUUCGUAGAUAUUCGCAAGAACACCAGUGGCGAAGGCGGCUGACUGGUCCGGUUCUGACGCUGAGGCGCGAAAGCGUGGGGAGCAAACAGG
This 253-nucleotide ribosomal RNA is filed under the name uncultured bacterium. RNAcentral describes it as "partial 16S ribosomal RNA". It matches the Rfam family "Bacterial small subunit ribosomal RNA", at positions 524 to 776 of the family's 1533-position model. The record is from RNAcentral.